CGUUUUGCCAGCCAAGGUAGGAAUCUUCCACAAUGGGCGCAAGCCUGAUGGAGCAACACCGCGUGAGUGAAGAAGGGUUUCGGCUCGUAAAGCUCUGUUGUUAAAGAAGAACACGUAUGAGAGUAACUGUUCAUACGUUGACGGUAUUUAACCAGAAAGUCACGGCUAACUACGUGCCAGCAGCCGCGGUAAUACGUAGGUGGCAAGCGUUAUCCGGAUUUAUUGGGCGUAAAGAGAGUGCAGGCGGUUUUCUAAGUCUGAUGUGAAAGCCUUCGGCUUAACCGGAGAAGUGCAUCGGAAACUGGAUAACUUGAGUGCAGAAGAGGGUAGUGGAACUCCAUGUGUAGCGGUGGAAUGCGUAGAUAUAUGGAAGAACACCAGUGGCGAAGGCGGCUACCUGGUCUGCAACUGACGCUGAGACUCGAAAGCAUGGGUAGCGAACAGGAUUAGAUACCCUGGUAGUCCAUGCCGUAAACGAUGAGUGCUAGGUGUUGGAGGGUUUCCGCCCUUCAGUGCCGGAGCUAACGCAUUAAGCACUCCGCCUGGGGAGUACGACCGCAAGGUUGAAACUCAAAGGAAUUGACGGGGGCCCGCACAAGCGGUGGAGCAUGUGGUUUAAUUCGAAGCUACGCGAAGAACCUUACCAGGUCUUGACAUCUUGCGCCAACCCUAGAGAUAGGGCGUUUCCUUCCGGGAAAACCGGCCCA
Molecule: ribosomal RNA, 707 nt
Filed under: Limosilactobacillus fermentum
Lineage: Bacteria; Bacillati; Bacillota; Bacilli; Lactobacillales; Lactobacillaceae
Description: bacterial SSU rRNA
Rfam family: Bacterial small subunit ribosomal RNA
Source: RNAcentral